RNAcentral lists this non-coding RNA (26 nucleotides) under Rattus norvegicus (Norway rat). The record is from RNAcentral. Lineage: Eukaryota; Metazoa; Chordata; Mammalia; Rodentia; Muridae.
UGAGGUUUGAGAAUUGUGGGUUUAAG